Molecule: ribosomal RNA, 433 nt
Filed under: uncultured bacterium
Lineage: Bacteria
Description: partial 16S ribosomal RNA
Rfam family: Bacterial small subunit ribosomal RNA
Source: RNAcentral
AACGAACGCUGGCGGCAUGCCUAACACAUGCAAGUCGAACGAGACCUUCGGGUCUAGUGGCGCACGGGUGCGUAACGCGUGGGAAUCUGCCCUUGGGUUCGGAAUAACAGUUGGAAACGACUGCUAAUACCGGAUGAUGACGUAAGUCCAAAGAUUUAUCGCCCAAGGAUGAGCCCGCGAAGGAUUAGCUAGUUGGUGAGGUAAAGGCUCACCAAGGCGACGAUCCUUAGCUGGUCUGAGAGGAUGAUCAGCCACACUGGGACUGAGACACGGCCCAGACUCCUACGGGAGGCAGCAGUGGGGAAUAUUGGACAAUGGGCGAAAGCCUGAUCCAGCAAUGCCGCGUGAGUGAUGAAGGCCUUAGGGUUGUAAAGCUCUUUUACCCGGGAUGAUAAUGACAGUACCGGGAGAAUAAGCUCCGGCUAACUCCGUG